RNAcentral lists this ribosomal RNA (468 nucleotides) under uncultured bacterium. RNAcentral describes it as "partial 16S ribosomal RNA". It matches the Rfam family "Bacterial small subunit ribosomal RNA", at positions 28 to 507 of the family's 1533-position model. The record is from RNAcentral.
GACGAACGCUGGCGGCGUGCUUAACACAUGCAAGUCGAACGGAAAGGCCCUGCUUUUGUGGGGUGCUCGAGUGGCGAACGGGUGAGUAACACGUGAGUAACCUGCCCUUGACUUUGGGAUAACUUCAGGAAACUGGGGCUAAUACCGGAUAGGAGCUCCUGCUGCAUGGUGGGGGUUGGAAAGUUUCGGCGGUUGGGGAUGGACUCGCGGCUUAUCAGCUUGUUGGUGGGGUAGUGGCUUACCAAGGCUUUGACGGGUAGCCGGCCUGAGAGGGUGACCGGCCACAAUGGGACUGAGAGACGGCCCAGACUCCUACGGGAGGCAGCAGGGGGGAAUAUUGCACAAUGGGCGGAAGCCUGAUGCAGCAACGCCGCGUGCGGGAUGACGGCCUUCGGGUUGUAAACCGCUUUCGCCUGUGACGAAGCGUGAGUGACGGUAAUGGGUAAAGAAGCACCGGCUAACUACGUG